Triticum dicoccoides is the source of this 450-nucleotide long non-coding RNA. RefSeq lists it as uncharacterized. NCBI's taxonomy places the organism in Eukaryota, Viridiplantae, Streptophyta, Magnoliopsida, Poales, Poaceae. The record is from RefSeq and is a predicted model, not a curated record. The transcript has 2 exons.
GCUAGUUCCAUCGCCUGCCGCCGUAAGAUCAUCGUCGUCGACAUCGUCGAGAGCUUUUGGAUCAACUUCGUCUUUCAGUCGUCGCCGCCAAGGUAUCAACAAUGCCGCCCAAGCCUCUCAAGAAGCCCAAGGCCCAGAAGAAAGAGUACGACGAGACCGAUCUGGAGAACUUGAAGAAGAAGAAGGAGGACGAGAAGGCCGUCAAGGAGCUCAAGGCCAAGGCCGCGCAGAAGGGCCCGCUAGGAGGCGCCGGUCUCAAGAAGAGCGGCAAAAAGUGAUCCUGCUCGUUUUCCAAAACUUAGUUAUCUGUACUUAGAAGCUUCUGAAAAAUGGCCGACGAAUACUACUUUAGAUAGUACUAGUUGAUUUGGUUUCAGUGUUUGGGGUCUCCUUUUUCCUGUACGAAUUGAGUUUUUGACGACACUAAGCUAUAAGUUUGCAUGAGCUAAA